GAUGAAGAACGUAGUGAAAUGCGAUAAGUAAUGUGAAUUGCAGAAUUCAGUGAAUCAUCGAACCUUUGAACGCACAUUGCGCCCGCCAGUAUUCUGGCGGGCAUGCCUGUUCGAGCGUCAUUUCAACCCUCAAGCCCAGCUUGGUGUUGGGGAUCGGCACAGGCGCCCUCGGGCGCCAGCCGUCCCCUAAAUCUAGUGGCGGUCCCGCUGCAGCCUCCUCUGCGUAGUAGUUUUCUCCUCGCAAGGGCAGCUCGGUGGCGACCUCGCCGUAAAACCCCCAACUUCUGAAAGGUUGACCUCGAAUCAGGUAGGAAUACCCGCUGAACUUAAGCAUAUCAAUAAGCGGAGGA
This 350-nucleotide unclassified non-coding RNA is filed under the name soil metagenome. RNAcentral describes it as "partial contains 5.8S ribosomal RNA, internal transcribed spacer 2, and large subunit ribosomal RNA". The stretch from base 1 to 120 matches the Rfam family "5.8S ribosomal RNA", at positions 35 to 154 of the family's 154-position model. The record is from RNAcentral.